Molecule: long non-coding RNA, 542 nt
Organism: Triticum aestivum (bread wheat)
Lineage: Eukaryota; Viridiplantae; Streptophyta; Magnoliopsida; Poales; Poaceae
Exons: 3
Source: RefSeq, a predicted model, not a curated record
GCAUGAAUUGAUUGUCAGGAACGGUGCGUAAAUCAAAAAGGUUGAAUGUGGUUCAGAGCCGCGCUGAGUACACCAAUGGGGAUUGUGACAAUAGUGAGCAUUCUCUGCUGUCACGUGAUUCAGUGUCCGAAACACAAGAAUUGGAGGAUAAUGAGGAUCAAGUUGGUCGUCGAGAUGAUCGCGUCGACAAUAUUUCUGGUGACGGUAAGCGUAGGGGAACAUCCUUACCGGCUGUUUGGAACAUGCCAGAUGGUGCGCGGAUAGUUGUAAAAUGCAAUCAUCUUGGCCAGCCUAUUGGGGACGAAGGUGGAGUCCUGGGGAAAUUUCUUGGCACAAUAGCUAGACUUGGGGGUUAUUGUCCACUUGACAAAAAGGACUGGCGUAAUGUCAAGAAAGAUGGUGGGGCUGACACAAUACUUCAGUGUGUACAGACAAAGUUCUUGUACCCUGCUAAGUGUGACAAGUGGAUACUAAAAACUACCGGGCGAGAUUGGAGAAGAUUCAAGGCUGGUCUGAAGAAAAAUUUCUUUAAUGCAAACAAG